This 28-nucleotide non-coding RNA is filed under the name Homo sapiens (human). The record is from RNAcentral. Lineage: Eukaryota; Metazoa; Chordata; Mammalia; Primates; Hominidae.
AUGUGGUCAAUUUUGGAAUAGCUAUGGU